AAUCAUCUUGACAUGGAUGACUUAACUUCUACAAACAACUUCCUCCCCUUAAUGUCUUUAACUAUUUUAAGACCUUUUACAGCAGCCCUACAGAUAAAGAGGCGUCAACAUUAGUGUCAAUAUUGCAUAUAAACCUAGAUCAUCUCCCCUAACUAUCAUGGAUAAUGCUCCUUGCAUAAGCUCAAGCGAGUAGCUCCACGCAAAACCAUCAAUAUUUAGUUUAUACCAAUCUAGUGGUGGGGUCUUCUUGCCGCUAUAGCGUCUCUAGUAUGGUUCCCCUCCUUAAUAUGCGGGGUAGGCCUAGUGAAGGCCACAUAAAACUCUAAUGCUAUGUGAAUGGUCAUCUUGUUAGUCAAUACUAUAACAACUCGGGUUCAUGGUGAAUAAACUUGAUAUGAUCCUUCCAUAGAAUCCACACCAUGGUUGGAAAAAUCACUUACUAACUUGCAAUAUCGUAGGUGAUAACAUCAUUUUAAAAAAGAUAUAUCUAAUCCACCUAUCAAAAAGAAGGAGAAAAAAGGACACCAAGAUAAUUAUUAUUAAUCAACUCACUCC
RNAcentral lists this long non-coding RNA (555 nucleotides) under Carica papaya (papaya). Its description in RNAcentral is "long non-coding RNA (CPAP_LNC012356)". The record is from RNAcentral. Lineage: Eukaryota; Viridiplantae; Streptophyta; Magnoliopsida; Brassicales; Caricaceae.